AAGUCCCUGCAGUUUUAUUCUUGCAGAUAUUUUUCCAGUUGUAUGUCGAACAUUUGCAAAUUGCUGAUUCCUCCAAAGCUUGUACAGCACAGUUGUUAGUUGGAAUGCUCGUUGGCACAGACACUGUGUUUGCUGAGAAGACCGGUUGCUCAGGGAAAGCUUCACUUGGAGUGGCCCUGCGUGCCUCUUGGGCUUGAGGUUGCAUCUGUGCGACUCUGAGCUCAGGAGCCCUGACAAGCGGCAUAUGAAUUCUGUAUUCAUUAGUGAUCUUGAUCCAAAUGCCUCUGUCCCUGCCAUGGGGGCUCAGGUGUGGAAGCUGCUGGCUAAUCCCACCAGCUGACAUUCAGAGGUUUAAUGACUCCAUAGGAAGGUGACCACUUGCUGGGAGGUUUGCUGACGGAACCCACGCAGCAGACAAUGGAGAUCAAGGAAGACUAUCAGUGUUUAGCCGAAGCACCUUCCUGUGCAACUUGAACCCUGUUGGCAUCAAGCAGAGUUUUAAUAAAUGCAAAAUUAAAAAAAAUAAUCUGACCUUCGAUAGCUAUCAUAACAAUGAUUUUUCUGUCUGUAUUGAUAUUGAUGGUGUUUAAGACAGUUUUUCUUGUAGCACUUUAAUAGGUGUCAGUUUAAUGAGCUGAACUUGACUCACUUUUGCAGAUUUUUAGAUUUUAAGGUUAUGUUGGUCUGGUUGCUAUAUCCAUUUAGGUAUGUUGUAUGUCUGGGAAAAAUCAUAUAGUUAGAACCAAAAUGCAUUCUUACUAAAUGCUUUUAGGGAUUUAUGCUGACAUUUUUAUUUAUGUGAUCUCUAGCUUUUACAAAAUUACUAUUGGAAUGUAAGUUCUUGGAUUGACUUGUGACAUGUCACUAGGUGUUUUGACCUUUUUAAGGUCCUCUAGUCUAAAAAUGCUGGAUGCCUUAUUAUUUAGUAACAGCUUCAUUGAGAUAUAAUUUGCACCCAUAUAAUUUACUUAAAGUGUACAAUUCAGCGAUUUUUUAGUACAGAGUUGUGCAAAUAUCACUAUAGUAAAUUUUAGAAUGUUUUCAUCACCCUCAAAAGAAACCCAUACCCAUUAGCAGUCACUCCCCAUAUCCCCUGACCCUCCCAGCCCUAGGCAACAACUAACCUACUUUUUGUGUUGAAACACUUGCCUAUUCUGGACAUUUCUCAUGGUAGGAGUCAUACAAUAUACGGUCUUUUGUGACUGGCUUCCUUAACUUACAAUAUUUUCAUAAUAUUUCAUCCAUGUUGUGCCAUGUAUUGGUACUUUAUUUCUUUUUUUAUGGUUGAACAGUAUUCCAUUGUAUGGACAUACCGCAGUUUAUUUAUCCAUCCGUUAGUUGGUGGACAUUGGGAUUGUUUUCAUAUUUCAGCUAUUAGGAGUAAUGCUGCUAUGAACAUUCGUGUACUAGUCUCUGUGUGGAUAUAUAUUGUCAUUUUUCUUGUAUACACUUAGGAGUGGCAUUGCUGACUCAUAUGUUUAACUUUUUGAGGAACUGCCAAACUGGUUUCCAAAGCAGCUAGGUCACUAGCAGUCUAAGAAUUCUAAUUUCUAACCCUCGCCAACACUUAUUAUCUGUCUUUUUGAUUGUAGCCUUCCUGGUGGGUGUGAAUUGGUAUCUCAUUGUGGUUUUGAUGGAUUCCUUAUUGGUAAGACUAAUGCAACUGUGGGGCUGUUUAGAUGGAACUGCUGAAGCACUGGACACACUUCUUUACACACUGGAUUUGGGCAGUAAUUGAAUUGGUUGCUCAUUUGUUUAGAUACUGAAAGGUCCCUCUUAGAGGCUCUCCCUGAGGCUGUUCUUGUCAUUUGAUUUCGGUCCUAAUACCUGCUUAUUGGCUUUCCUUAAGAUCUGCAGCAUUAACAUCAUAAAUUGUGUCUUCAUUUUUGGAUCAAAAAUGUAUUAAUUUUCUCCUUAGUUGUAUUUAAUGUAAUGCAUUAAUUUUUAGAGAUGUCAGAACCCAAAGAUAACAUUUCUGGGGCCCUGAUUAGAAUUAUUCUUAGUAGUCAUAUCCAGUGGAGUUAAAUAGUUAAUUUUAGAAAUGAACAGAUAUUAAAGAUGGCACUCAUUUUGUUCAGUGGGUGAUUUGGAGAAUUACCAUUGACCUUUAGAAUAGAUAUUAAUGAGAAGAUCCUGCUGAUGGCUAAAGCUUCUCACCAGCAUCGGAUAUUUUGAGUUGUCCUUCUUUUAAAAAGUGAAUUUGUUCUCCAAAAUUUGAACCCACUGGUAGGCCAACUUUGGAGAGGCAGAAGGAACUUCUUGCUCACAUUUUCAUCUUGUGGUGUUUUAGAAGGCAGAUGGAAGUUUUGUUUUUUCACCUGAUGCUUCAACAGCAAGACUGCUCUCUACCAUAAGAGUUUGGAAUUUAACAUGUAAUUGCUUCUCUCCCUUUGGUUUUCUAGGAUUCCUUAGUCUUCCUUGACUUAGAAAUAACCACUUAUAUGUCUGUCUCCUGGCCAAGUCCGUGUCUUCCUUGUCAUGGUGGUGGCUCAUUAUCAUUUCUACCCUUGCCAUUGUAUUCUGCCUUUGAUGAAAGUUGAAGUUCAAAGUGUGAUUUUUGGACUAGAGAAACGGAAGAAGUGAAAUACAGGAUUGAGUGUAACUGGAUGGCAGCUUAGAAUCUUAUAAGUUUUGCCUUGGCAGGUAAUUUGGCAUAAAUUGUUAAUGUAAAUCUGGGUUAGUGGUGAAGACGUUAUUUUAGUAAAAAAGAUAAACUGCUGAUUAAUUCAGCAUAGAACUCAAUUACAAAUUGAAAGUGUCUCUGCGGGACUCCCGGACCCUAAAGACAGCAGAUGUUGAAUUGAUACUCCAGCAUAUUUCACAGUGGUAUGAAAUAUUAACAUGGUUUAUUAUACUUGU
Long non-coding RNA from Myotis myotis, 2859 nucleotides. RefSeq lists it as uncharacterized. The transcript has 3 exons. Lineage: Eukaryota; Metazoa; Chordata; Mammalia; Chiroptera; Vespertilionidae. The record is from RefSeq and is a predicted model, not a curated record.